This 274-nucleotide ribosomal RNA is filed under the name uncultured bacterium. RNAcentral describes it as "partial 16S ribosomal RNA". It matches the Rfam family "Bacterial small subunit ribosomal RNA", at positions 523 to 796 of the family's 1533-position model. The record is from RNAcentral.
AGACGAACCGGUCGAACGUUAUUCGGAAUCACUGGGCUUAAAGAGUGCGUAGGCGGUCUGGCAGGUGAGGUGAGAAAUCCCUCGGCCCAACCGAGGAACUGCGCUUCAAACCGCCAGGCUUGAGGAAGAUAGAGGUGAGCGGAACAGAUGGCGGAGCGGUGAAAUGCGUUGAUUUCAUCUGGAACACCUGUGGCGAAGGCGGCUCACUGGGUCUCUUCUGACGCUGAGGCACGAAAGCUAGGGUAGCGAACGGGAUUAGAUACCCCGGUAGUCC